This 200-nucleotide ribosomal RNA is filed under the name uncultured bacterium. Its description in RNAcentral is "partial 16S ribosomal RNA". It matches the Rfam family "Bacterial small subunit ribosomal RNA", at positions 8 to 203 of the family's 1533-position model. The record is from RNAcentral.
AGAGUUUGAUCCUGGCUCAGGACUAACGCUGGCGGCGCGCCUAACACAUGCAAGUCGCACGAGAAACUUCGUAGCAAUACGGGGCGGUAAAGUGGCGAACGGGUGAGUAAUGCAUGGGUGACCUGUCCUCAAGAUGGGAAUAACCUCGCGAAAGCGGGGCUAAUACUCAAUGCCAUCCCGGUCUUUCGGGAUCGGGAUGA